CAUCCCGCGCGGAGGAAAUAAAGAUCCAUUUUGCGCAGGCGCGAGUUCAUUUCUACCGCUCGAUCGUCGUGAUCCCAUGGCGGCACAUCAUACAGCAUGGAAACAUCUCAAGUAUCUGUGGACUGGGGGACAUAACUCUCCAUCAACUUGCAUGCAUAAGGUUGCAAGGCUGCAUAUAUUUGCUAUGGGAGUCAACUCAGACAGGAAUGCAGAUGUCACAUAUCUUCACUGUAAGCUCUAAUCCCAAGAAAAUCCCUUUUUGGAGAAGAGUGUUAGAGAUGCAUCUCUUCAGAUCUACAUUCCAAGAACAAUCUCAGUGUUUGCUGGUAACAAGCAGCACAGCCCACCUCUGAAACUUUUCCUGGAAGCAGAGUUCCAUGUAAGCCUGUUGGGAAUGCAUGUGACAAGAUUACAUCUGGAUGUGUUUUAAAUGACAUGGCAUUUAAAAUCUGGAGGGAGCUGAAGGUUCGAGCUUCUAACUGUCAGCCUCAAAACCUUAAUGACUUGGAGAUGUUCUGCAAAGAGGACUGGGACAAAAUCCCUCCUGAGACGUGGCCAACCACAAGAAACGUCCAAUCUCUGAUUGCCAACAAGGGUUUAGCCACGAAGUACUAAGUUAUGUUUUGCAAAGGGGUGAAAAAGUGCAAAUCAAUUUAUAACUUUUAAGUCCAUUUUUCUGGAUUUUUUUCUUGUUAUUCUGUUUCUCACUGUUAAACCUACCAUUAAAAUUACAGACUGAUCAUUUCUUUGUCGUACAAAAUCAGCAGGGGAUCAAAUACUCCCCCCCCCCGUAUGUGUCUAAAUAUAUACAUUUUCAAAGCAAAUGUUGUAUAAGCAAAUUCCAUGUUUGAUGCACAUAUCUUGCAAGAACCGUAAUUGCUUUUGUUGCAUUAUCUGUGUUUUAAAUGCCAUGGCAUUUUUUUUAUAUAAAAAGUUGUUUAUUUUUAAACAUAGACAAAAACAUAACGUAAAAAAAUCUUCAUUAUGUAC
Molecule: non-coding RNA, 990 nt
Organism: Thamnophis sirtalis
Lineage: Eukaryota; Metazoa; Chordata; Lepidosauria; Squamata; Natricidae
Source: RefSeq, a predicted model, not a curated record